GGGGAAUAUUGCACAAUGGGGGAAACCCUGAUGCAGCGACGCCGCGUGGAGGAAGAAGGUCUUCGGAUUGUAAACUCCUGUUGUUGGGGAAGAUAAUGACGGUACCCAACAAGGAAGUGACGGCUAACUACGUGCCAGCAGCCGCGGUAAAACGUAGGUCACAAGCGUUGUCCGGAAUUACUGGGUGUAAAGGGAGCGCAGGCGGGAAGACAAGUUGGAAGUGAAAUCUAUGGGCUCAACCCAUAAACUGCUUUCAAAACUGUUUUUCUUGAGUAGUGCAGAGGUAGGCGGAAUUCCCGGUGUAGCGGUGGAAUGCGUAGAUAUCGGGAGGAACACCAGUGGCGAAGGCGGCCUACUGGGCACCAACUGACGCUGAGGCUCGAAAGUGUGGGUAGCAAACAGGAUUAGAUACCCUGGUAGUCCACACUGUAAACGAUGAUUACUAGGUGUUGGAGGAU
RNAcentral lists this ribosomal RNA (458 nucleotides) under uncultured bacterium. RNAcentral describes it as "bacterial SSU rRNA". It matches the Rfam family "Bacterial small subunit ribosomal RNA", at positions 356 to 831 of the family's 1533-position model. The record is from RNAcentral.